RNAcentral lists this ribosomal RNA (406 nucleotides) under uncultured bacterium. RNAcentral's name for it is "bacterial SSU rRNA". It matches the Rfam family "Bacterial small subunit ribosomal RNA", at positions 355 to 776 of the family's 1533-position model. RNAcentral also lists the same sequence under 1 other name. The record is from RNAcentral.
UAGGGAAUCUUGCACAAUGGGCGAAAGCCUGAUGCAGCAACGCCGCGUGAAGGAUGAAGGCCUUCGGGUUGUAAACUUCUGUUCUAAGGGAAGAAACAAAUGACGGUACCUUAGGAGCAAGCCCCGGCUAACUACGUGCCAGCAGCCGCGGUAAUACGUAGGGGGCAAGCGUUAUCCGGAAUUAUUGGGCGUAAAGAGUGCGUAGGUGGUUACCUAAGCGCAAGGUUUAAUUUAGAGGCUCAACCUCUACUUGCCUUGCGAACUGGGCUACUUGAGUGCAGGAGGGGAAAGCGGAAUUCCUAGUGUAGCGGUGAAAUGCGUAGAUAUUAGGAGGAACACCAGCGGCGAAGGCGGCUUUCUGGACUGUAACUGACACUGAGGCACGAAAGCGUGGGUAGCAAACAGG